AGAGUUUGAUCAUGGCUCAGGAUGAACGCUGGCGGCGUGCUUAAUACAUGCAAGUCGAACGAAGCUCUUUUUCUUCGGAUGAAGAGUCUUAGUGGCGAACGGGUGCGUAACGCGUUGGUAACCUGCCCCAAAGAGGGGGAUAACAGUUCGAAAGGACUGCUAAUACCCCAUGUGAUCAUCAGGAUUAGAUGCUUGAUGAUGAAAGGAGUAAUCCGCUUUGGGAGGGGCCUGCGUCCCAUCAGCUUGUUGGUAGGGUAAUGGCCUACCAAGGCUCUGACGGGUAGGGGACCUGAGAGGGUGGCCCCCCACACUGGCACUGAAAUACGGGCCAGACACCUACGGGUGGCAGCAGUAGGGAAUAUUGGACAAUGGGCGAAAGCCUGAUCCAGCAACGCCGCGUGCACGAUGACGGCCUUCGGGUUGUAAAGUGCUUUUAGGAGAGAUGAGAAAGGACAGUAUCUCCCGAAUAAGCCUCGGCGAACUACGUGCCAGCAGCCGCGGUAAAACGUAGGAGGCGAGCGUUAUCCGGAUUUAUUGGGCGUAAAGCGCGUGCAGGCGGUUUGGAAAGUUGGAUGUGAAAGCUCCUGGCUUAACUGGGAGAGGUCGUUCAAAACUACCAGACUAGAGAAUGGGAGAGGGAAGUGGAAUUCCGGGUGUAGUGGUGAAAUGCGUAGAUAUCCGGAGGAACACCAGUGGCGAAAGCGGCUUCCUGGACCAUUUCUGACGCUAAGACGCGAAAGCUAGGGGAGCGAACGGGAUUAGAGACCCCGGUAGUCCUAGCUGUAAACGAUGUAGACUUGCGUUGGCGGAGUUAAAUCUGCCAGUGCCGGAGCUAACGCGUUAAGUCUACCGCCUGGGGACUACGACCGCAAGGUUAAAACUCAAUGAAUUGACGG
Molecule: ribosomal RNA, 896 nt
Filed under: Anaerolineaceae bacterium enrichment culture clone B6_92
Lineage: Bacteria; Bacillati; Chloroflexota; Anaerolineae; Anaerolineales; Anaerolineaceae
Description: bacterial SSU rRNA
Rfam family: Bacterial small subunit ribosomal RNA
Source: RNAcentral